This 298-nucleotide ribosomal RNA is filed under the name uncultured bacterium. Its description in RNAcentral is "partial 16S ribosomal RNA". It matches the Rfam family "Bacterial small subunit ribosomal RNA", at positions 28 to 322 of the family's 1533-position model. The record is from RNAcentral.
GACGAACGCUGGCGGCGUGCUUAACACAUGCAAGUCGAGCGGUAAGGCCCUUUCGGGGGUACGACGAGCGGCGAGCGGGUGAGUAACACGUGGGUGACCUGCCCUCAGCUCUGGGAGUAAAGCCUGGGAAACGUGGGUCGUAAUACUGGAUAUGACUCCACGGUGCAUGUCGUGGGGUGGAAAGCCUUGUGCGGCUGAGGAUGGGCCCGCGGCCUAUCAGCUUGUUGGUGGGGUGAUGGCCUACCAAGGCGACGACGGGUAGCCGGCCUGAGAGGGCGACCGGCCACACUGGGACUUA